CGGAACGGGUGAGUAAUGCGUGACCAACCUGCCCCAUGCUCCAGAAUAGCUCUUGGAAACGGGUGGUAAUGCUGGAUGCUCCAACUUGACGCAUGUCUUGUUGGGAAAGUGUUUAGUGGCAUGGGAUGGGGUCGCGUCCUAUCAGCUUGUAGGCGGGGUAAUGGCCCACCUAGGCUUCGACGGGUAGCCGGCCUGAGAGGGCGGACGGCCACAUUGGGACUGAGAUACGGCCCAGAUUCCUACGGGAGGCAGCAGGG
RNAcentral lists this ribosomal RNA (257 nucleotides) under uncultured Gardnerella sp. RNAcentral's name for it is "partial 16S ribosomal RNA". It matches the Rfam family "Bacterial small subunit ribosomal RNA", at positions 98 to 354 of the family's 1533-position model. The record is from RNAcentral. Lineage: Bacteria; Bacillati; Actinomycetota; Actinomycetes; Bifidobacteriales; Bifidobacteriaceae.